Molecule: ribosomal RNA, 468 nt
Filed under: uncultured bacterium
Lineage: Bacteria
Description: partial 16S ribosomal RNA
Rfam family: Bacterial small subunit ribosomal RNA
Source: RNAcentral
GAUGAACGCUGGCGGCGUGCUUAACACAUGCAAGUCGAACGGAAAGACCCUGCUUUUGUGGGGUGCUCGAUUGGCGAACGCGUGAGUAACACGUGAGUAACCUGCCCUUGUCUUUGGGGUAACUUCAGGAAACUGGGGCUAAUAUCGGAUAGGAGCUCCUGCUCCAUGGUGGGCGUUGGAAAGUUUCGGCUGUUGGGGAUGGACUCGCGGCUUAUGAGCUUGUUGGUGGGGUAGUUGCAUACCAAGGCUGUGACGGGUAGCCGGCCUGGGAGGGGGGCCGGGGUCAAGGCGACUAAGAGACGGACCAGUCUCCAACGUGAGGCAACAGUCGGAAGCAUGGCACAGUGAGCCCGAGCGUGAUACGGAGGCGCCGGGUUCGUGAUGCCGGCUUUUUGGGUAAGAACCGCUUUCGCCUGAGACGAAGCGGUAGUGACGGUAAUGGGUAAAGAAGCACCGGCUAACUACGUG